This 268-nucleotide long non-coding RNA is filed under the name Elaeis guineensis (African oil palm). Its description in RNAcentral is "long non-coding RNA (EGUI_LNC057310)". The record is from RNAcentral. Lineage: Eukaryota; Viridiplantae; Streptophyta; Magnoliopsida; Arecales; Arecaceae.
ACUAAAAAAUUAAUGUAAUUUCUCGAAUUAGAGGUAGAGGCUACUAAUUCAAAUAAAAUAGUGGGAGAACCUUUAGACUAAAAUUCAUAUCUUUAGGCUUAAUCAAUUCAUAUACUAAUUAGGUUUUGAUUUUUCUUUUAUAGUUAUAGGUACCACCUUAUCACUCCGAUCACUAUUAGAUAGUGAUAAAUUGAUGGGAUAAAAUUUCGAUAGCUGGUAUCGAAAGCUCAAAAUAGUUUUGGAGUACAAAUGGAUUUUGUAUGUAUUG